Molecule: ribosomal RNA, 432 nt
Filed under: uncultured bacterium
Lineage: Bacteria
Description: partial 16S ribosomal RNA
Rfam family: Bacterial small subunit ribosomal RNA
Source: RNAcentral
AAUGAACGCUGGCGGCAUGCCUAACACAUGCAAGUCGAACGAAGGCUUCGGCCUUAGUGGCGCACGGGUGCGUAACGCGUGGGAAUCUGCCCCUUGGUUCGGAAUAACAGUUAGAAAUGACUGCUAAUACCGGAUGAUGACGUAAGUCAAAAGAUUUAUCGCCGAGGGAUGAGCCGGCGUAGGAUUAGCUAGUUGGUGUGGUAAGAGCGCACCAAGGCGACGAUCCUUAGCUGGUCUGAGAGGAUGAUCAGCCACACUGGGACUGGGACACGGCCCAGACUCCUACGGGAGGCAGCAGUGGGGAAUAUGGGACAAUGGGCGAAAGCCUGAUCCAGCAAUGCCGCGUGAGUGAUGAAGGUCUUAGGAUUGUAAAGCUCUUUUACCCGGGAUGAUAAGGACAGUACCGGGAGAAUAAGCUCCGGCUAACUCCGU